UACGAAGGGGGCAAGCGUUGCUCGGAUUUAUUGGGCGUAAAGGGUGUGUAGGUGGUCCUGCAAGUUAGAUGUGAAAGCCCCGGGCUUAACCCGGGAACUGCAUUUAAAACUGCUGGACUUGAAGAUCACAGAGGUAAGCAGAAUUUCCAGUGUAGAGGUGAAAUUCGUAGAUAUUGGAAAGAAUACCAACGGCGUAGGCAGCUUACUGGGUGAUACUUGACACUGAGGCACGAAAGCGUGGGGAGCAAACAGG
RNAcentral lists this ribosomal RNA (253 nucleotides) under uncultured bacterium. RNAcentral's name for it is "partial 16S ribosomal RNA". It matches the Rfam family "Bacterial small subunit ribosomal RNA", at positions 524 to 776 of the family's 1533-position model. The record is from RNAcentral.